GCCUGGAUGGCUAAGUCAGUUAAGCAUCUGACUCUGACUCAGGUCAUCAGCAUUGGUUGAGCUCGAGCCCCACUUCAGGUG
Molecule: transfer RNA, 81 nt
Filed under: Felis catus (domestic cat)
Lineage: Eukaryota; Metazoa; Chordata; Mammalia; Carnivora; Felidae
Rfam family: tRNA
About the family: Transfer RNA (tRNA) molecules are approximately 80 nucleotides in length.
Source: Rfam by way of RNAcentral